Molecule: ribosomal RNA, 454 nt
Filed under: uncultured Comamonadaceae bacterium
Lineage: Bacteria; Pseudomonadati; Pseudomonadota; Betaproteobacteria; Burkholderiales; Comamonadaceae
Description: bacterial SSU rRNA
Rfam family: Bacterial small subunit ribosomal RNA
Source: RNAcentral
GCACAAGCGGUGGAUGAUGUGGUUUAAUUCGAUGCAACGCGAAAACCUUACCCACCUUUGACAUGUACGGAACCCUUUAGAGAUAGAGGGGUGCUCGAAAGAGAGCCGUAACACAGGUGCUGCAUGGCUGUCGUCAGCUCGUGUCGUGAGAUGUUGGGUUAAGUCCCGCAACGAGCGCAACCCUUGCCAUUAGUUGCUACGAAAGGGCACUCUAAUGGGACUGCCGGUGACAAACCGGAGGAAGGUGGGGAUGACGUCAAGUCCUCAUGGCCCUUAUAGGUGGGGCUACACACGUCAUACAAUGGCCGGUACAGAGGGUAGCCAACCCGCGAGGGGGAGCCAAUCCCACAAAGCCGGUCGUAGUCCGGAUCGCAGUCUGCAACUCGACUGCGUGAAGUCGGAAUCGCUAGUAAUCGCGGAUCAGCAUGUCGCGGUGAAUACGCUCCCGGGUCUU